This 461-nucleotide long non-coding RNA is filed under the name Amborella trichopoda. RNAcentral's name for it is "long non-coding RNA (ATRI_LNC003502)". Lineage: Eukaryota; Viridiplantae; Streptophyta; Magnoliopsida; Amborellales; Amborellaceae. The record is from RNAcentral.
GGACCCGAUACAACUUGAUAGGUCGAGUCUAGGACCAAGUGACUUGGACUUGACUGCAGUCAGAUUGGGCCAGUGUCAAGAUCAACCCGGAUCACUCCCAACCCAUUUACAUCACUAUAACCAAUGGCCUGCCAGAAGGCGACUUAAUGCGCAAUUUUGACUCGAAUCUAAGACUCAAGGUUUGUUAUCAAAUGAUCGGGUUUAAUUGGUUAAUUGGUUAGCGCUUGAUGAUUUACAAUGCUACGUCCUAAACUCAAUUCCUAUUAGGUUAUAUGCCCUCUCCACUGACUCAUCCAAAAAAAAUGACUUACUGCUAGUUGACUUUGGCUUUUUUUAAGUUGUAAUGAGCAAGGGCUUGUUUCAUAAUCAUUGCAGGUAACAAAUUGUGCCACGGGCGCAUGUCAUGCAUCUUAGGUUUCCCUCGAACAAGGAUUGAGAAACAGCACAUCCAUGUAGCCAAG